Molecule: ribosomal RNA, 78 nt
Filed under: Cyrtorchis aff. ringens sp3
Lineage: Eukaryota; Viridiplantae; Streptophyta; Magnoliopsida; Asparagales; Orchidaceae
Description: partial 5.8S ribosomal RNA
Rfam family: 5.8S ribosomal RNA
About the family: 5.8S ribosomal RNA (5.8S rRNA) is a component of the large subunit of the eukaryotic ribosome. It is transcribed by RNA polymerase I as part of the 45S precursor that also contains 18S and 28S rRNA.
Source: RNAcentral
GACACGACUCUCGGCAAUGGAUAUCUCGGCUCUCGCAUCGAUGAAGAGCGCAGCGAAAUGCGAUACUUGGGGGUGAAU